GGCGAACGCUGGCGGCGUGCUUAACACAUGCAAGUCGAACGGAAAGGCCCUGCUUUUGUGGGGUGCUCGAGUGGCGAACGGGUGAGUAACACGUGAGUAACCUGCCCUUGACUUUGGGAUAACUUCAGGAAACUGGGGCUAAUACCGGAUAGGAGCUCCUGCUGCAUGGUGGGGGUUGGAAAGUUUCGGCUGUUGGGGAUGGACUCGCGGCUUAUCAGCUUGUUGGUGGGGUAGUGGCUUACCAAGGCUUUGACGGGUAGCCGGCCUGAGAGGGUGACCGGCCACAUUGGGACUGAGAUACGGCCCAGACUCCUACGGGAGGCAGCAGUGGGGAAUAUUGCACAAUGGGCGGAAGCCUGAUGCAGCAACGCCGCGUGCGGGAUGACGGCCUUCGGGUUGUAAACCGCUUUCGCCUGUGACGAAGCGUGAGUGACGGUAAUGGGUAAAGAAGCACCGGCUAACUACGUG
RNAcentral lists this ribosomal RNA (468 nucleotides) under uncultured bacterium. Its description in RNAcentral is "partial 16S ribosomal RNA". It matches the Rfam family "Bacterial small subunit ribosomal RNA", at positions 28 to 507 of the family's 1533-position model. The record is from RNAcentral.